Molecule: ribosomal RNA, 274 nt
Filed under: uncultured bacterium
Lineage: Bacteria
Description: partial 16S ribosomal RNA
Rfam family: Archaeal small subunit ribosomal RNA
Source: RNAcentral
AAACCAGCACCUCAAGUGGUCAGGAUGAUUAUUGGGCCUAAAGCAUCCGUAGCCGGCUCUGUAAGUUUUCGGUUAAAUCUGUACGCUUAACGUACAGGCUGCCGGGAAUACUGCAGAGCUAGGGAGUGGGAGAGGUAGACGGUACUCGGGAGGAAGUGGUAAAAUGCUUUGAUCUCUCGAUGACCACCUGUGGCGAAGGCGGUCUACCAGAACACGUCCGACGGUGAGGGAUGAAAGCUGGGGGAGCAAACCGGAGUAGAAACCCGAGUAGUCC